AGACUUUACACGGGUAGAAACAUCUCUAUAUAAAUCUGGUUUCCUAGAUGUCUGGAGUAUUAUAAACUUUGAAGACGUCUUAGGGGAAUUUAAGACAUAAUUGAAGAAGUAUAACACAAAGUUUCAUUAUGCAGGUCAAGUUUAUGUUGCUGGCAAUCUGUGCUGUUUUACUUUGUAUCAAUUUUGUAAAAGGAAGUUCCAGUGAUAGUGGUGAUAGGAACGUUGGUGGGAGAUUCAGAGGGAGUCAGAACGGUGGGAGAUUCGGAGGGAGGCAGAACGGUGGUAGCAGCGAUAGCAGCGACAGUAGUAAUGGUGGAAGAAGGAGGCAAAGACCAAACCAAUGUUAUUACCAGUGUGACUACGCCCUGUAUAAGUGUAAAAAUUAUCAAUGCAGACCCCUUUAUCACAGCCAGGGAUAUUUUUACUACAAACAAUGUAUCAAUGAUUGUCAAUUCAUCAAAGAAAAAUGUUAUUUCUUUUGUAAUGAGUACGGAUACUAUCCAGGGGAUAACCAUCAAUUCUAACUCAUUUCAUAUAACCAGCGAUGUAUAGUUAAUAUUCUAUUGUUUUUUUUUAUAAAUUAUUUAAUGAAAACAUAUCAAAUGUAUUCACUUUUACAUGUGUUGCCUUGGUAACAUUGAUAAUUUUAUGUGGUACAUCAUAGAUGUAUAAAUGGGUUUAUUAAUCUAUGGGUACAUAUACAUUGACGAUUUUUCAAUUUGUUAACUUUUGAGUUGUAUAUACAUUUUUAUAAGCAAAAAAAUCAACGUUAAAAGAUACAGUCAGCAAAUAAAAAAGAUCUACUUUUAGAUCGACGUCUGAUGUU
This is a long non-coding RNA of Mytilus californianus (California mussel), 826 nucleotides long. RefSeq lists it as uncharacterized. NCBI's taxonomy places the organism in Eukaryota, Metazoa, Mollusca, Bivalvia, Mytilida, Mytilidae. The record is from RefSeq and is a predicted model, not a curated record. The transcript is spliced from 3 exons.